RNAcentral lists this ribosomal RNA (274 nucleotides) under uncultured bacterium. Its description in RNAcentral is "partial 16S ribosomal RNA". It matches the Rfam family "Bacterial small subunit ribosomal RNA", at positions 523 to 796 of the family's 1533-position model. The record is from RNAcentral.
AUACGGAGGGUGCAAGCGUUAUUCGGAAUCACUGGGCGUAAAGGACGCGUAGGCGGGUUGGCAAGUCAGAUGUGAAAUCCUACAGCUUAACUGUAGAACUGCAUUUGAAACUGCUAACCUAGAGUAUGGGAGGGGGAGAUGGAAUUAGUGGUGUAGGGGUAAAAUUCGUAGAUAUCACUAGGAAUACCGAAAGCGAAGGCGAUCUCCUGGAACAUAACUGACGCUAAGGCGUGAAAGCGUGGGGAGCAAACAGGAUUAGAUACCCUUGUAGUCC